GAGUUUGAUCCUGGCUCAGAACGAACGCUGGCGGCAUGCCUAACACAUGCAAGUCGAACGAGAUCUUCGGAUCUAGUGGCGCACGGGUGCGUAACGCGUGGGAAUCUGCCCAAAGGUACGGAAUAACUCUCCGAAAGGGGUGCUAAUACCGUAUGAUGUCGCAAGACCAAAGAUUUAUCGCCUUUGGAUGAGCCCGCGUAGGAUUAGCUAGUUGGUGGGGUAAAGGCCUACCAAGGCGACGAUCCUUAGCUGGUCUGAGAGGAUGAUCAGCCACACUGGGACUGAGACACGGCCCAGACUCCUACGGGAGGCAGCAGUGGGGAAUAUUGGACAAUGGGGGAAACCCUGAUCCAGCAAUGCCGCGUGAGUGAUGAAGGCCCUAGGGUUGUAAAGCUCUUUUACCCGGGAUGAUAAUGACAGUACCGGGAGAAUAAGCCCCGGCUAACUCCGUG
Molecule: ribosomal RNA, 452 nt
Filed under: uncultured Sphingomonadaceae bacterium
Lineage: Bacteria; Pseudomonadati; Pseudomonadota; Alphaproteobacteria; Sphingomonadales; Sphingomonadaceae
Description: bacterial SSU rRNA
Rfam family: Bacterial small subunit ribosomal RNA
Source: RNAcentral